CGGUCGCGCGCCCGCCGGGGAUGACGGGCCGGCCCUCAGGUGGCCGGGAGCAGCCCUUCGAUCGCGUCGGCGGCGGCCGCC
RNAcentral lists this transfer RNA (81 nucleotides) under Streptomyces djakartensis. RNAcentral describes it as "tRNA-Leu". Lineage: Bacteria; Bacillati; Actinomycetota; Actinomycetes; Kitasatosporales; Streptomycetaceae. The record is from RNAcentral.